GAAACAAAUUCUUUAUGCAUCUCUGCCAUCAUUUUUUGAAAUCUAUCCUCAAAACGAUUUUCUAAUUCACUCAUUUGAUGCUUAAGUGAUUCUACCUCAACUUUUCUUUGUUGUUCAGAUUCUUUUCUUUGUUGUUCAGAUUCUUGAAGACGUUGUUCGGACUCACUAAAGCGACGUUCAAGAUCGCGUAUAUUAGACGAUGAUCCAAACAACUCAGAAG
Molecule: unclassified non-coding RNA, 220 nt
Filed under: Hevea brasiliensis (rubber tree)
Lineage: Eukaryota; Viridiplantae; Streptophyta; Magnoliopsida; Malpighiales; Euphorbiaceae
Source: RNAcentral